CCUACGGGAGGCUGCAGUGAGGAAUAUUGGUCAAUGGACGCAAGUCUGAACCAGCCAUGCCGCGUGCAGGAAGACGGCUCUAUGAGUUGUAAACUGCUUUUGUACGAGGGUAAACGCAGAUACGCGUAUCUGUCUGAAAGUAUCGUACGAAUAAGGAUCGGCUAACUCCGUGCCAGCAGCCGCGGUAAUACGGAGGAUUCGAGCGUUAUCCGGAUUUCUUGGUUUUAAAGGGUGCGUAGGCGGUCGGAUAAGUUUGUGGUGAAAUCCCGAGGCUCAACUCCGGAAUUGCCUCUGAUACUGGUCGGCUAGAGAGUAGGUGCGGUAGGCGGAAUGUAUGGUGUAGCGGUGAAAUGCUUAGAGAUCAUACAGAACACCGAUUGCGAAGGCAGCUUACUAAGCUACAUCUGACGUUGAGGCACGAAAGCGUGGGGAGCAAACAGGAUUAGAUACCCCGGUAGUC
This 460-nucleotide ribosomal RNA is filed under the name uncultured bacterium. RNAcentral describes it as "partial 16S ribosomal RNA". It matches the Rfam family "Bacterial small subunit ribosomal RNA", at positions 338 to 795 of the family's 1533-position model. The record is from RNAcentral.